ACAUGCGUGACUAUCACAUAGUCCUUUUGUUCAUGUUAAUUUCUUAUGAUAUUUUAUGUAUUAAUCUCUUUUCAUCCUAGGACAAUCAUUCCAUAUAACAACCCUCGUUAUGUGAGGGCAACCUUAUAUUAGGAUGAUCUAAGAUUGUGUUAUAAAACCUAUGUCCCAUUAAAUUAUUCUAAUUUGAAAACAUCCAUAUCAUCA
RNAcentral lists this long non-coding RNA (204 nucleotides) under Elaeis guineensis (African oil palm). RNAcentral describes it as "long non-coding RNA (EGUI_LNC059881)". Lineage: Eukaryota; Viridiplantae; Streptophyta; Magnoliopsida; Arecales; Arecaceae. The record is from RNAcentral.